RNAcentral lists this long non-coding RNA (1638 nucleotides) under Zostera marina. Its description in RNAcentral is "long non-coding RNA (ZMAR_LNC005582)". Lineage: Eukaryota; Viridiplantae; Streptophyta; Magnoliopsida; Alismatales; Zosteraceae. The record is from RNAcentral.
CUCUAUCUAAAAAGGUUUUAAACUUUUGUGAUAUUUUUUCUCUGUAAUUUUGGAUCUUAGCGUGACAACGAUUUUGAUAUUCUUUUCACCCGUUGCUGCCUCGAUCUAAUUUCAAGAAAAUGUUUGGUGGAUAUUUUUGGUCAUAAAAUCGAUAUGAAGACUCGAAUUCGAUAUGAAAACUCGCUACGGCCGAUCACCGGAUCGACUACACGGUGAUCGACCACAAUUUCAAUCCUACGACCGUAAUGAGGUAUAUCCCAUUGCGACGGUGAACGAUAUCCGAUCUCGAUAGAUUUGGGCGGUUUUUCUCCAACCGUGAUGGGUUCCAGACCUGGAAUCGGCCGAUCAUCAUCGGACCUGGAACCGCGAUGACAUGGGUUCCGGCCGAUCGUUAUCGGACCUGGAACCGUGAUGGGUUCCGGACCUGGACCCACGAUCGGCCGGUGGAUCGACUGAUUGUCAUCGGACCUGGAACCACGAUGGCAAUUGAAGAGGGGAGGUGAUGACGCAAGGCCGGAGUGACGGCCGUUACCGUCGAUCUAGAUCUCCCUCUCCUCGUAUCUCUAGUAAACUCAUUAAAGUUAACCAGCUACUGAUCCUUAGGUGAGCAGUAUUAAUAGCAACAUUAUCUUGCUCAUGAGGCUAGGCUUGCCAGAUACUCAUCUGGGCCUAAGCCCAAGUCGUAGUCGGGUCGAGUCCCCGGAGACGACCCAGGUGGUGUUUGGGUCGGGCUCAGGUUUAACCCAAAUCAGAUUCUUACUAGGUCUGGGUUACGAGUUGAGUCACUACUGCUGUUAGUCUUGGACCACAUACAGUCGGAUGUUAAAUACUGCUGGGUGUCAUCAGGAUGCAACGGUCGGAUUUGGCCAUCGGUAGCUUGGUGGAACCGCAUGAAAAACAGUUCCUGUUUAUUUAUGAUUUAUUAAUAAAAAAUUUAAUCUUCUAGAUCUGAUCUCACAUUUUUUAGGAAUUUUAGUCACAAAUUUUGGACUCUUUUAUUAUUAUUCUAUAAACAAUGGAGUCCACACGUACCAUACGCUGAUUUAAUAACUCAUAUAACAGGUUUUGCCUUUUUACUUCAAACAAACAAUAAUGAUUUAGACGUCAAAUUUCAAUACGUUAGGCCAUUAGAUCGACAUUUCGUCGUACAUAAGUUAAUAUCUUUUCUUAUAUAUUUUUUUUCGUCAUACGUACGUUAGUGUCUUGUACAGUACAUUAUUAUAGCUAUUUGAUUAAAAAUUAAAAGACAAGAUGCGCACGACGUAUCUUGACGCAACUGAAAAUUAGAUUUAUAUAUAAACUCUUAAUUCUUUUUUAAAUCUUUUUUUUCCUUCCAUUGGGUGUAAGUAAAGCUCGCCUCGAACUCGCGAGCUUCGAGUCUGACUAUUUUUAAAACAAGCUGAGCCCGAGUUCGGCCAAACUAAGCUCGACGAAGCAUGAGCUGGGCUGGUUGGACACCCUGAUCCUUUACAAUUUAAUUUUAAAAAAAACUUUACAAUUAAAACCUCUACAGCUAAGCAAACCGCCAACCCGUUUGACAUUUUGACCAGAAGUUUCUAUUUUAUGUUUCCGCGGUCCCUUCAACUUCAAUCAUCGUCGUUCCUUCCUCCUCAUCUUCCACCACCACUCUUUAGUCUU